Molecule: transfer RNA, 70 nt
Filed under: Cichlidogyrus casuarinus
Lineage: Eukaryota; Metazoa; Platyhelminthes; Monogenea; Dactylogyridea; Ancyrocephalidae
Description: tRNA-Ala
Source: RNAcentral
UACGAUGUAGUUUAAUAAAAACAAGUUCUUUGCAUGAAUUAAAUGGAAGUUUUUGAUCUUUCCGUUGUUA